RNAcentral lists this ribosomal RNA (718 nucleotides) under Torrenticola sharkeyi. Its description in RNAcentral is "eukaryotic LSU rRNA". It matches the Rfam family "Eukaryotic large subunit ribosomal RNA", at positions 1 to 944 of the family's 3401-position model. Lineage: Eukaryota; Metazoa; Arthropoda; Arachnida; Trombidiformes; Torrenticolidae. The record is from RNAcentral.
GAAGUCCUGUUAGUAAGAGAUUCAUAUACUUUAGGAGGCUUAUGGUGGUUGUCAAAACUCUGUAAAAAGAGUUUACAAUCAUUAUAAAUGGUCAACUAAAUGAUGCAUUUCACUUACUUACGUUGGUGCUCUGACUGCUUAUAAACUAUUAAUUUGCUUAAUUUAGNNGAUGUAGUCCUUCGGGUUUUAAAUUUUUUUGUGAUUAAGUGUAAAUUUAAUAUUAAAAUAAGUAGGUGAAUUACUUACUAUUGUAAGUGCAUUCAGAUCAUUAGUAUCGUUAAGAUAUUAAUUGUAGUUAUAUUGAAAUCUUUCAAACUUUUGUUUGAAGAUUCAUUAUAUACAACAAUUGCAAAUACCUUUAUCGUUUACUUUUAAUGAUGAUCCAGAGUAAGUAAGUCGGUCAUCCAUCUGACCCGUCCUGAAACACGGACCAAGGAACCCAACAUAUAUGCAAGUCGCACAGUCUUGUUUAGGCUUGUGAGGGGAAAUAAACAUAAUGGUGGGACCUUUAUUUUCAAUAAAGAGCAACACCAACCUGUUCAUACUUUGUUUUACAAGUUGAACGGCGUUUGAGCAUACAUGUUGGUACCCGAAAGAUGGUGAACUAUACUUGGGCAAGACAAAGCCAGAGGAAACUCUGGUGGAGGUCUGUAGCGAUUCUGACGUGCAAAUCAAUCGUCAGACCUGAGUAUAGGGGCGAAAGACUAAUCAAACCAUC